UUGGCGGACGGGUGAGUAACGCGUGGAAAACCUGCCGUAUACUGGGGAUAACACUUAGAAAUAGGUGCUAAUACCGCAUAAGCGCACAGCUUCGCAUGAAGCGGUGUGAAAAACUCUGGUGGUAUACGAUGGUUCCGCGUCUGAUUAGCUAGUUGGUGGGGUAAUGGCCUACCAAGGCAACGAUCAGUAGCCGGCCUGAGAGGGUGAACGGCCACAUUGGGACUGAGACACGGCCCAAACUCCUACGGAAGGCAGCAG
This 258-nucleotide ribosomal RNA is filed under the name uncultured bacterium. RNAcentral describes it as "partial 16S ribosomal RNA". It matches the Rfam family "Bacterial small subunit ribosomal RNA", at positions 95 to 354 of the family's 1533-position model. The record is from RNAcentral.